RNAcentral lists this ribosomal RNA (584 nucleotides) under uncultured bacterium. Its description in RNAcentral is "partial 16S ribosomal RNA". It matches the Rfam family "Bacterial small subunit ribosomal RNA", at positions 355 to 937 of the family's 1533-position model. The record is from RNAcentral.
UGGGGAAUUUUGGGCAAUGGGCGCAAGCCUGAUCCAGCCAUGCCGCGUGCGGGAAGAAGGCCUUCGGGUUGUAAACCGCUUUUGUCAGGGAAGAAAUCUUCUGAGUUAAUACCUCGGGAGGAUGACGGUACCUGAAGAAUAAGCACCGGCUAACUACGUGCCAGCAGCCGCGGUAAUACGUAGGGUGCAAGCGUUAAUCGGAAUUACUGGGCGUAAAGCGUGCGCAGGCGGUUUUGUAAGACAGAGGUGAAAUCCCCGGGCUCAACCUGGGAACUGCCUUUGUGACUGCAAGGCUUGAGUGCGGCAGAGGGGGAUGGAAUUCCGCGUGUAGCAGUGAAAUGCGUAGAUAUGCGGAGGAACACCGAUGGCGAAGGCAAUCCCCUGGGCCUGCACUGACGCUCAUGCACGAAAGCGUGGGGAGCAAACAGGAUUAGAUACCCUGGUAGUCCACGCCCUAAACGAUGUCAACUGGUUGUUGGGAAGGUUCCUUCUCAGUAACGUAGCUAACGCGUGAAGUUGACCGCCUGGGGAGUACGGCCGCAAGGUUGAAACUUAAAUGAAUUGACGGGGUCAUAGCUGUUUCC